CCUACGGGUGGCAGCAGUGGGGAAUAUUGGACAAUGGGGGAAACCCUGAUCCAGCGACGCCGCGUGAGUGAAGAAGUAUUUCGGUACGUAAAGCUCUAUCAGCAGGAAAGAAAAUGACGGUACCUGACUAAGAAGCCGCGGCUAACUACGUGCCAGCAGCCGCGGUAAUACGUAGGGGGCAAGCGUUAUCCGGAUUUACUGGGUGUAAAGGGAGCGUAGACGGCAGCGCAAGUCUGGAGUGAAAUGGCGGGGCCCAAACCCGGAAGUGCUCGGGAAACUGUGAAGCUGGAGUGCAGGAGAGGUACGCGGAAUGCGUGGUGUAGCGGUGAAAUGCGUAGAUAUCAGGAGGAACACCGGGUGCGAAGGCGGCGUACUGGAGUGAGACUGACGUUGAGGCUCGAAGGCGUGGGGAGCAAACAGGAUUAGAUACCCGAGUAGUC
This 440-nucleotide ribosomal RNA is filed under the name uncultured bacterium. RNAcentral's name for it is "partial 16S ribosomal RNA". It matches the Rfam family "Bacterial small subunit ribosomal RNA", at positions 338 to 795 of the family's 1533-position model. The record is from RNAcentral.